This 424-nucleotide ribosomal RNA is filed under the name uncultured bacterium. RNAcentral's name for it is "bacterial SSU rRNA". It matches the Rfam family "Bacterial small subunit ribosomal RNA", at positions 355 to 776 of the family's 1533-position model. The record is from RNAcentral.
UGAGGAAUAUUGGUCAAUGGACGGAAGUCUGAACCAGCCAUGCCGCGUGCAGGAUGACGGCUCUAUGAGUUGUAAACUGCUUUUAUACUAGGGUAAAACUGGGUACGUGUACCCACUUGAAAGUAUAGUAUGAAUAAGGAUCGGCUAACUCCGUGCCAGCAGCCGCGGUAAUACGGAGGAUUCGAGCGUUAUCCGGAUUUAUUGGGUUUAAAGGGUGCGUAGGCGGUAAUUUAAGUUAGUCGUUAAAUCGGAAGGCUCAACCUUCUCAUGGCGAUUAAUACUGGGUUACUAGAGAUUAGAUGCAGAGGGCGGAAUGUGUAGUGUAGCGGUGAAAUGCUUAGAUAUUACACAGAACACCGAUUGCGAAGGCAGCUCUCUAAUCUACAUCUGACGCUCAGGCACGAAAGCGUGGGGAUCAAACAGG